AUGAGAGUCACGAUUUUGCUUCCACAAGAGGCACGGUUGUGCUUUUGCGAAAGUCACGACCGUGCAUCUAGAAAAGGGAAAAACAAAAUGUGUUUUCUGUUUUUUUAUUUUCGUGAGAGUCACGGUUUUGCUUCCGCUAGAGGCACGGUUGUGCUUUCGCGAAGUCACGGCCAUGCCUCUAGGAAAGGGAAAAAAUACAUGUUUUUUGUUUUUUUUUCGCGAGAGUCACAGUUUUGCUUUCGCGAGAGGUACGGUUGUGCCUUCGUGAAAGUCACAGCCGUGCCUCUCGGAAACGAAAAAAACGUGUUUUUUGUUUUUUCCCUUUCACGAGAGUCACGGUUUUACUUUCACGAGAGGCACGGUUGUGAUUUCGCGAGAGGCACGGUUGUGAUUUCGCGAGAGGCACGGGCGUGUCUCUUUCGAAAAGGAAAAAAAACCAUGCUCCCGGUUCGGUUUUUUCAUCCAGUAUUUUUCGUCUGGUUUUUUCGUGAAAAAAAAGUUUGUCAAAAACUAUCGACAUGGGAUCUAGUUUUGAAGAUAUCGACGCGAAAAAUCCAAUAA
This 561-nucleotide ribosomal RNA is filed under the name Triticum aestivum (bread wheat). RNAcentral describes it as "partial small subunit ribosomal RNA". The record is from RNAcentral. Lineage: Eukaryota; Viridiplantae; Streptophyta; Magnoliopsida; Poales; Poaceae.